AGUAUACCGGAAGGUGUGCUUGGAAACGUAAUGUAGCUUAAUUAAAGCAUCUCGCUUACACCGAGAAAAUGUCUGUGAAAAUCAGAUCUUUAUGAGCCUAAAACUUAACUCAACUUUACAUGAAUUUUACCCUAAUAAUUUUACCCUAUUAAUAAACCAUUUUCAUAUUUUAGUAAAGGAGAUUGAAAAACCUCUAUUGAAGUUAUAACCAUAGUACCGCAAGGGAAAAGUGAAAUAAAUAGUGAAAAAUCAUUAAGCAACAAAAAGUAAAGACCCCCCCUUGUACCUUUUGCAUCAUGGUUUAACUAGUCUAACCAAGCAAAAUGAAUUUAAGUUUGACUUCCCGAAACUAAGUGAGCUACUUCGAGGCAGCCAAAAGAGCGAACCCGUCCCUGUAGCAAAAGAGUGGGAUGACCUUCAAGUAGGGGUGAAAGACCUAACGAACUUAGUGAUAGCUGGUUACUCAAGAAACGGACCUAAGUCCCACUUGAAGCGCUUAAUUAGUUUUCCAAAACAACCAUUUAGCCUUCAAUGUAAUUCAAAUAAGGUACAGCCUAUUUGAAACAGGAAACAACCUGAGCUGAUGGAUAAAACAGCUUUAUUAAUAACUUAGUAGGCCUAAAAGCAGCCAUCUAUUAAAUAGCGUCAAAGCUUAAUUGUUUUAUUGCUUAAUUUCACAAAUAUUAUUUUAAUCCUCCAUCUUUAUUGAGUAAUUCUAUACUAUUAUAGAAAAUUUUAUGUUAAAACUAGUAACAAGAAGAAGACCUUCUCUUUAAUGUAAGUGUCAAUCAGAAAGGACAAGCCACUGAUGCUUAACAUCAUUGAACCAAAAAUAGUAACUCAUCAAGAAAACACUAUUUUUAUUUAUGUUAACCUAACACAAGAGCAUUAUAAGAAAGAUUAAAAGAAAAAGACGCCUCUUGAACUUUAUAAGAGGUCCAGCCUGCCCAGUGACUCUGUUCAACGGCCGCGGUAUCCUAACCGUGCGAAGGUAGCGUAAUCACUUGUUCUUUAAAUGUGGACUAGUAUGAAUGGCACUACGAGGGUUACACUGUCUCCUUUUUCUAAUCAGUGAAACUAAUUUUCCCGUGAAGAAGCGGGAAUUCACCUAUAAGACGAGAAGACCCUAUGGAGCUUUAAACAAUCCAGCAAUUACUUUUAAAAUUAUAAAUUUCAGAAUAUUCAUUUUUUAAGCAAUGUGUCUGCAAGUUUUUGGUUGGGGUGACCAUGGAGAAUAACACAACCUCCAUAUUGAAUGAAUCCCAUUCUAAGCUAAAAAUUACUAAUUGAAGCAUCAACAUACUGACAUCUAUUGACCCAAUAUAUUUGAUCAACGAACCAAGUUACCCUAGGGAUAACAGCGCAAUCUACUUCAAGAGCCCCUAUCGACAAGUGGGUUUACGACCUCGAUGUUGGAUCAGGGUAUCCCAGUGGCGCAGCCGCUACUAAAGGUUCGUUUGUUCAACGAUUAAAACCCUACGGAUCUGAGU
This 1490-nucleotide ribosomal RNA is filed under the name Rhinella alata. Its description in RNAcentral is "partial 16S ribosomal RNA". It matches the Rfam family "Bacterial large subunit ribosomal RNA", at positions 282 to 2610 of the family's 2925-position model. The record is from RNAcentral. Lineage: Eukaryota; Metazoa; Chordata; Amphibia; Anura; Bufonidae.